This 253-nucleotide ribosomal RNA is filed under the name uncultured bacterium. Its description in RNAcentral is "partial 16S ribosomal RNA". It matches the Rfam family "Bacterial small subunit ribosomal RNA", at positions 524 to 776 of the family's 1533-position model. The record is from RNAcentral.
UACGGGGGGGGCAAGCGUUGUUCGGAAUUACUGGGCGUAAAGGGCGCGUAGGCGGUUCGCUAAGUUGAAUGUGAAAACUCUGGGCUUAACCCAGAGCCUGCAUUCAAUACUGGCGGGCUAGAGUUCUGGAGAGGAUAGCGGAAUUCCUGGUGUAGCGGUGAAAUGCGUAGAUAUCAGGAGGAACACCGGUGGCGAAGGCGGCUAUCUGGACAGAGUCUGACGCUGAGGCGCGAAAGCUAGGGGAGCAAACAGG